CGUCUAAGAUAGCCAUGCACGUCUAAGUACAAACUAAAUGAUGGUGAAACUGCAAAUGGCUCAUUACAACGGUUAUGAUGUACCCGGGAGUUCCGAUGGAUAUUUCCAGUAACACUAGAACUAAUACAUGUCCCUGCGUUUAUUAGUUUCGCACAGUCCGUCGCUGAGUCAUGGUAAACAGUUGAUCGACUCGACGUCCCGGAACAGUUUCCGCCCCAUCAGCUUCGAUGGUUGGGUAUUGGCCUACCAUUGCAACAACGGGUAACGAGGAAUUAGGGUUUGAUUUCGGAGAGGGAGCCUGAGAAACGGCUACCACAUCUACGGAUGGCAGCAGGCGCGCAAAUUACCCAAUGCAGACACUGUGAGGUAGUGACGAGAAAUAAUAAAGCGGGACUUCUGUUUCGCUAUUAUAAUGAGGAAUAACCAAAGGUCAUUCCGAUUAGCAACUGAUGGGAAAGUCUGGUGCCAGCAGCCGCGGUAAUACCAGCGUCAGUAGCAUA
Molecule: ribosomal RNA, 500 nt
Filed under: uncultured Myrionecta
Lineage: Eukaryota; Ciliophora; Litostomatea; Cyclotrichida; Mesodiniidae
Description: SSU rRNA
Rfam family: Eukaryotic small subunit ribosomal RNA
Source: RNAcentral